GGGAAUUUUCCGCAAUGGGCGCAAGCCUGACGGAGCAAGACCGCGUGCGGGAGGACAGCCUAUUGGUUGUAAACCGCUUUUGAUAGGGAAGAAGCUCUGACGGUACCUAUCGAAUCAGCAUCGGCUAACUCCGUGCCAGCAGCCGCGGUAAUACGGAGGAUGCAAGCGUUAUCCGGAAUUAUUGGGCGUAAAGCGUCCGUAGGUGGUUGUUCAAGUCUGCUGUUAAAGCGUGCGGCUUAACCGCAUACCAGCAGUGGAAACUGGGCGACUAGAGUGCGGUAGGGGUCAGGGGAAUUCCCAGUGUAGCGGUGAAAUGCGUAGAUAUUGGGAAGAACACCGGUGGCGAAAGCGCCUGACUGGACCUGCACUGACACUGAGGGACGAAAGCUAGGGGAGCGAAAGGGAUU
This 407-nucleotide ribosomal RNA is filed under the name uncultured cyanobacterium. Its description in RNAcentral is "bacterial SSU rRNA". It matches the Rfam family "Bacterial small subunit ribosomal RNA", at positions 357 to 779 of the family's 1533-position model. Lineage: Bacteria; Bacillati; Cyanobacteriota. The record is from RNAcentral.